This 23-nucleotide small nuclear RNA is filed under the name Arabidopsis thaliana (thale cress). Its description in RNAcentral is "snRNA_04823". Lineage: Eukaryota; Viridiplantae; Streptophyta; Magnoliopsida; Brassicales; Brassicaceae. The record is from RNAcentral.
ACACAUAUUUUAAAGCGUUUGAA